Myotis myotis is the source of this 1401-nucleotide long non-coding RNA. RefSeq lists it as uncharacterized. The transcript is spliced from 3 exons. The record is from RefSeq and is a predicted model, not a curated record. Lineage: Eukaryota; Metazoa; Chordata; Mammalia; Chiroptera; Vespertilionidae.
UGACUUCAGAUGCCAAGGAGGAAACCUCUGGCCAAAAGCUUUGCAAUAUUCGGCAAAGAAGGAAAUCUGGAAUUUAGGGAGGGAAAUGUUUCUUUCUGCAUGGAGAUGAGGAGGCUGGGUGUUAGCUUAUGUGCUGGGAGCAGGCGCUGGCCAUGAUUUCAAAGCUUCCCCUCCCCACCCCCCACAGGGUUAGUGGGAUCAUUAGCAGAGACUGCCUCUCACUUGCCCUCCACCCUGGCCUGACCAACCGCCAUUCACUUGCCCUGAUUGGGACAAUAGCAGAGAAAUGAAAGUUUGCAGCGCCAGGCUCCUGGCCUUCCACAGGGACUAAGGCCCCCAAAUCUGCCCCCUCCUUUCCCGGCAGCUCCCUGAAGACCCAGGAGGGAAGGGAAGAAAAGAGGUUGAGGCUUGAUACCUCCCUGGUGAAUCCGAUGUGUGAGUCAUGACGGUGAGUGCGAGCGCUUAGAAAAGAAACAGGGUCAUGGUGAUGCCUGCGAACGUCCCCGGCUGCUGACUGGAGUCUGGGAACCGCCUGCCCAGAUGAAUUCUUGUCCUGGGUGAAUCGAGGACCUGAACUCCUCUGUGGCUGAGAUAAAACAAAUACUUGAGGACCUUACCUUGGGCCAAAUACGAAACUGUUUCCUCAGGCUCCAUCUUCUUUCCUCUGGCCUCGCAUGAUCCAGGCCAGAUCUUACCAAAGCGAGUCUCAUUCAAGCUCCAAAGUUUCUGGGAGGAGGAAGAAGAGGUCAGAGAGGCCAGGCGUCCACUUCCUUUUGAGGAGGAGCCUGCUCCAGCUGCCCUCCAGGGAAGAUGUCCAGCAGAGAAGUUGACCUUCCCUAAGCCACUCUGCUGGCAUUGCCACACUUGCCCCCUGGCGGCCCAGGCUAGGGGAAAUCCCAUGAUGCUCCAGGGCCCCACGCUUCCCGGUGCUUCCCAGAGCCUGCCUGCUGGGAAGUGGAGAGGUGGCCACGGGCGGCCUUUGUUCAUCUGGAGGAGACUUCCGUCUCAGGCUCUUCACCCAGGCCAGACCCUGAGACAGCCGGCCACAGAGCCACAAGGCGACGGACAGACUGACCAAAGGCAAACAAGGCCUAAGAUGGCCACAGACCCUCUUCUCCCCUCAGCAGGCAGAUCCCUAGGAUAUUUGGAAAUUGGUUAAGGGAUUUGGGGGCUCAAGAUUUUGGCUUUUUAAUAUCUCUUGCCUGUCCAUGGAGUGGUCAUCUGUGCCACCCACCUUGUUACUUCAGUCUGUUCCGGGAGAUUGAUGGUCCAGGCUUUGAUUUACGAUCUGUGUCUGGGAUCCUCAAUUUCCCCUGUCUCGUGGGGGACAAUGACAAGUUUUAAUUCAUUACUUUAUUUUUAAGAAAAGUGCUGCUGAAAGUUAUCAUAUACUUCGGGAAG